Long non-coding RNA from Erpetoichthys calabaricus (reedfish), 231 nucleotides. RefSeq lists it as uncharacterized. The transcript has 2 exons. NCBI's taxonomy places the organism in Eukaryota, Metazoa, Chordata, Cladistia, Polypteriformes, Polypteridae. The record is from RefSeq and is a predicted model, not a curated record.
AUAUUUAAAUAAUUUUACGACAUCUGUUAAUAAUAUUAAUGUUACUUAAUGUCUCCCCUUUAUAUCUGUCUAUGAUAUAGUGCCUUUUACUAUCUAUCAGUCUCAUUGUGUCGUUCUUAUCAAUUGAUCUAUUAUAAGUGGGCAGUGCCGCUAACUGUCUUGUCUUCUUCUUCUUCCAUAGUGCAGAGAAACAGCCCAAUGAGGACAAAUGACUCCGCCUCUUCUGUUCCC